This 253-nucleotide ribosomal RNA is filed under the name uncultured bacterium. Its description in RNAcentral is "partial 16S ribosomal RNA". It matches the Rfam family "Bacterial small subunit ribosomal RNA", at positions 524 to 776 of the family's 1533-position model. The record is from RNAcentral.
GACGUAGGGGGCAAGCGUUGUUCGGAAUUAUUGGGCGUAAAGCGCUCGUAGGCGGGACAGGAAGUUCGUGUUGAAAGACCUCGGCUCAACUGAGGGACCGGCUCGAAUACUCUUGUUCUUGAGGCAAUCAGAGGGUGAUGGAAUUCCCGGUGUAGCGGUGAAAUGCGUAGAUAUCAGGAAGAACACCCGUGGCUAAGGCGGCUCUCUAGUACGGUACUGACGCUGAGACGCGAAAGCGUGGGGAGCGAACAGG